AUACGUAGGGGGCGAGCGUUGUCCGGAAUGAUUGGGCGUAAAGGGCGCGUAGGCGGCCCGGUAAGUCUGGAGUGAAAGUCCUGUUUUUAAGAUGGGAAUUGCUUUGGAUACUGUCGGGCUUGAGUGCAGGAGAGGUAAGUGGAAUUCCCAGUGUAGCGGUGAAAUGCGUAGAGAUUGGGAGGAACACCAGUGGCGAAGGCGACUUACUGGACUGUAACUGACGCUGAGGCGCGAAAGUGUGGGGAGCAAACAGGAUUAGAUACCCUGGUAGUCCACACUGUAAACGAUGAAUGCUAGGUGUAGGGGGCAUCGACCCCUUCUGUGCCGCAGUCAACACAAUAAGCAUUCCGCCUGGGGAGUACGGCCGCAAGGUUGAAACUCAAAGGAAUUGACGGGU
Molecule: ribosomal RNA, 397 nt
Filed under: uncultured bacterium
Lineage: Bacteria
Description: partial 16S ribosomal RNA
Rfam family: Bacterial small subunit ribosomal RNA
Source: RNAcentral